AGAUUGAGACCAGAUCCUUAUCUGAAAAUUUGGAUUCUGAAUCUGAUUUGACAAGAUGUUGGAACAUUUUUCUAGAAAUUCUCUCCAGACUAAAUAUUUUGAAGCUGAUAAGACGAUCUCGUCUGUACACUAAUCCUACUGAUGCUAUUCUCAGGAUGGAUUCCUACAGCAGAGUAAUAUUUCCUGUGUGCUUUAUACUUAUAAAUAUUAUUUACUGGAGUAUUCUUAUUAUUUAAACAAUAAUUUUCUUAAAGUUUUUUUUCUUGGCUUUCACAUUAGUCUCCCUAGAAGAUGAUGAUUGGUUCUAUAGGCUGUAUGUAUUGUGUACUGUAAGGUUUUUACAUCUUACAUAGAUUAAU
Molecule: long non-coding RNA, 359 nt
Organism: Eurytemora carolleeae
Lineage: Eukaryota; Metazoa; Arthropoda; Copepoda; Calanoida; Temoridae
Exons: 3
Source: RefSeq, a predicted model, not a curated record